Myotis brandtii (Brandt's bat) is the source of this 75-nucleotide non-coding RNA. NCBI's taxonomy places the organism in Eukaryota, Metazoa, Chordata, Mammalia, Chiroptera, Vespertilionidae. The record is from Rfam.
GGUGGUUCUCUGGUGACACACCUCAGAAUUGGGCCCCCUCCUCUCUGGUUCUGGGUGCAAUAUAUGAGAACUGCU